GCUACACAUGCAGUCGAACGGCAGCACAGGAGAGCUUGCUCUCUGGGUGGCGAGUGGCGGACGGGUGAGGAAUACAUCGGAAUCUACUCUGUCGUGGGGGAUAACGUAGGGAAACUUACGCUAAUACCGCAUACGACCUACGGGUGAAAGCAGGGGAUCUUCGGACCUUGCUCGAUUGAAUGAGCCGAUGUCGGAUUAGCUAGUUGGCGGGGUAAAGGCCCACCAAGGCGACGAUCCGUAGCUGGUCUGAGAGGAUGAUCAGCCACACUGGAACUGAGACACGGUCCAGACUCCUACGGGAGGCAGCAGUGGGGAAUAUUGGACAAUGGGCGCAAGCCUGAUCCAGCCCUACCGCGUGGGUGAAGAAGGCCUUCGGGUUGUAAAGCCCUUUUGUUGGGAAAGAAAUCCAGCCGGCUAAUACCUGGUUGGGAUGACGGUACCCAAAGAAUAAGCACCGGCUAACUUCGUGCCAGCAGCCGCGGUAAUACGAAGGGUGCAAGCGUUACUCGGAAUUACUGGGCGUAAAGC
This 528-nucleotide ribosomal RNA is filed under the name Stenotrophomonas maltophilia. Its description in RNAcentral is "bacterial SSU rRNA". It matches the Rfam family "Bacterial small subunit ribosomal RNA", at positions 48 to 566 of the family's 1533-position model. The record is from RNAcentral. Lineage: Bacteria; Pseudomonadati; Pseudomonadota; Gammaproteobacteria; Lysobacterales; Lysobacteraceae.